GAGUUUGAUCAUGGCUCAGAUUGAACGCUGGCGGCAGGCCUAACACAUGCAAGUCGAGCGGAAACGAUCCUAGCUUGCUAGGAGGCGUCGAGCGGCGGACGGGUGAGUAAUGCAUAGGAAUCUGCCCGGUAGUGGGGGAUAACUUGAGGAAACUCAAGCUAAUACCGCAUACGCCCUACGGGGGAAAGCAGGGGCUCUUCGGACCUUGCGCUAUCGGAUGAGCUUAUGUCGGAUUAGCUAGUUGGUGAGGUAAUGGCUCACCAAGGCGACGAUCCGUAGCUGGUCUGAGAGGAUGAUCAGCCACAUCGGGACUGAGACACGGCCCGAACUCCUACGGGAGGCAGCAGUGGGGAAUAUUGGACAAUGGGGGCAACCCUGAUCCAGCCAUGCCGCGUGUGUGAAGAAGGCCCUCGGGUUGUAAAGCACUUUCAGCGAGGAAGAAUGCUUGUCGGUUAAUACCCGGCAAGGGAGACAUCACUCGCAGAAGAAGCACCGGCUAACUCCGUGCCAGCAGCCGCGGUAAUACGGAGGGUGCGAGCGUUAAUCGGAAUUACUGGGCGUAA
This 563-nucleotide ribosomal RNA is filed under the name Halomonas sp. 52. Its description in RNAcentral is "bacterial SSU rRNA". It matches the Rfam family "Bacterial small subunit ribosomal RNA", at positions 9 to 563 of the family's 1533-position model. The record is from RNAcentral. Lineage: Bacteria; Pseudomonadati; Pseudomonadota; Gammaproteobacteria; Oceanospirillales; Halomonadaceae.